UAACGAAUAUUCCGCAAUGCGCGAAAGCGUGACGGAGCAAUGCCGCGUGAAGGAUGAAGCCCCUUGGGGUGUAAACUUCUGUCAGGGGUCACCAAGCUCUGAGGAGCCCCAAAGGAAGGACCGGCUAACUUCGUGCCAGCAGCCGCGGUAAUACGAAGGGUCCAAGCGUUAAUCGGAAUCACUGGGCAUAAAGCGUGCGUAGGCGGAUGUGCAAGUACCCUGUGAAAUCCCACGGCUCAACCGUGGAACUGCUCGGUAGACUGCACGUCUUGAACUCGAUAGGGGCUGUCGGAACGAUAGGUGGAGCGGUGAAAUGCGUAGAUAUCUAUCGGAACGCCAAUGGCGAAGGCAGGCAGCUGGGUCGAUGUUGACGCUCAGGCACGAAAGCGUGGGUAGCGAACGGGAUUAGAUACCCCCGUAGUCC
This 424-nucleotide ribosomal RNA is filed under the name uncultured prokaryote. RNAcentral describes it as "bacterial SSU rRNA". It matches the Rfam family "Bacterial small subunit ribosomal RNA", at positions 355 to 796 of the family's 1533-position model. The record is from RNAcentral.